This 60-nucleotide microRNA precursor is filed under the name Sphenodon punctatus (tuatara). RNAcentral's name for it is "Spt-Mir-19-P2c_pre stem-loop". It matches the Rfam family "mir-19 microRNA precursor family", at positions 11 to 71 of the family's 79-position model. From Rfam's summary of the family: The hairpin precursors (represented here) are predicted based on base pairing and cross-species conservation -- their extents are not known. The record is from RNAcentral. Lineage: Eukaryota; Metazoa; Chordata; Lepidosauria; Sphenodontia; Sphenodontidae.
AGUUUUGCAGGUUUGCAUCCCAGCGUGCCUCCAGUGCUGUGCAAAUCCAUGCAAAACUGA